RNAcentral lists this ribosomal RNA (465 nucleotides) under uncultured Klebsiella sp. Its description in RNAcentral is "bacterial SSU rRNA". It matches the Rfam family "Bacterial small subunit ribosomal RNA", at positions 338 to 795 of the family's 1533-position model. The record is from RNAcentral. Lineage: Bacteria; Pseudomonadati; Pseudomonadota; Gammaproteobacteria; Enterobacterales; Enterobacteriaceae.
CCUACGGGAGGCAGCAGUGGGGAAUAUUGCACAAUGGGCGCAAGCCUGAUGCAGCCAUGCCGCGUGUGUGAAGAAGGCCUUCGGGUUGUAAAGCACUUUCAGCGGGGAGGAAGGCGGUGAGGUUAAUAACCUCAUCGAUUGACGUUACCCGCAGAAGAAGCACCGGCUAACUCCGUGCCAGCAGCCGCUGUAAUACGGAGGGUGCAAGCGUUAAUCGGAAUUACUGGGCGUAAAGCGCACGCAGGCGGUCUGUCAAGUCGGAUGUGAAAUCCCCGGGCUCAACCUGGGAACUGCAUUCGAAACUGGCAGGCUAGAGUCUUGUAGAGGGGGGUAGAAUUCCAGGUGUAGCGGUGAAAUGCGUAGAGAUCUGGAGGAAUACCGGUGGCGAAGGCGGCCCCCUGGACAAAGACUGACGCUCAGGUGCGAAAGCGUGGGGAGCAAACAGGAUUAGAUACCCGAGUAGUC